This 72-nucleotide transfer RNA is filed under the name Heterocephalus glaber (naked mole-rat). It matches the Rfam family "tRNA". Rfam says of the family: Transfer RNA (tRNA) molecules are approximately 80 nucleotides in length. Their secondary structure includes four short double-helical elements and three loops (D, anti-codon, and T loops). The record is from Rfam by way of RNAcentral. Lineage: Eukaryota; Metazoa; Chordata; Mammalia; Rodentia; Bathyergidae.
GGGGAUGUAGCUCAGCGGUAGAGCACUUGCCUGGCACGUGUGAAGCUCUAGGUUCAAUCCCCAGCACUGCAA